ACACGUAUGAAAGUCAAGCUGAAAGACUUUACUCAAUGAUGUAAGUGGUGGUGCAUGGUCGUUCGUAGUUCGUGGAUUGAUUUGUCUGGUCUAUUCCGAUAACGAGCGAGACCCCAACGUUCCUAAUAGGGGCUUCAGCCCGGCUGGUCGCAAGAUCGGUUAGCUUGUUGCCUAGGAUUAGCUUCUUAGACGUAUCAGAGCCGAUAAGGUUCUUGAAAUGGGUUAAUAACAGGUCAGUCAUGCCCUUAGAUGUUCUGGGCCGCACGCGCGUUACAAUGGCAUGAAAAGAAAGUGCUUCAAAAGGCGUUUCCGGGGCCGAAAGGUCCUGGUAACCCUUAAUCCCUGCCUUGACUGGGAUAGAUCUUUGCAAUUAUUGGUCUCUAACGAGGAAUUUUUAGUAAUCGUAGGUCAUUAACCUGCGAUGA
This 425-nucleotide ribosomal RNA is filed under the name uncultured myxomycete. Its description in RNAcentral is "SSU rRNA". It matches the Rfam family "Eukaryotic small subunit ribosomal RNA", at positions 1230 to 1644 of the family's 1831-position model. Lineage: Eukaryota; Evosea; Eumycetozoa. The record is from RNAcentral.